AUGGCUCUGACCAUGUGUGUGUAGCGACUAACAGGGUUGCCAGGUACCCAUGACCGACAAGUGAAGCUCAGUUUUUGGGGCUUUACCCAGAAAACAAGAAAAAUUCGCUGUGGUCAAGAAGCAGAUAUCAGUGAGUUGUUCCGUUGGCCCCACUAUGGGGCUCCACUGGCUGGCGAGUGUUUGUCUGUACAGGUAGUCAACUGUAGUCGUGUAUUUAGCUCCAGGCCUCUGGGGACCCUGGUAAUCUCCCUACAAGAGCUACAGAAUGCUGGGCAUUUGGUGCUACGGGAGGCCCUAGUGGUUGAGAAUCUUCGAGUGCAUUGUCCUUGGGCCUCUCCUAUCCAGGUGGAGCUUGACCUGAAGUACCUGCCUCCAGAGGGUGCUACUGGGGCCUGGGCAGAGGAGAACUUUGGGGCACCCAUCUCUGACAGCUCGGAGCUGAUCAUCCCCAGUGUGGGCUUCCAGGAGCUGGAGCUUGGGCAGGCCCAGCUGGAGCGGUGAGCAGUAGUUUUGGGCCGCAGGCUAGCUCGAAGUCUAGGCCAGAAGGAUGAUGAGAACAAUGAGCUGGAGCUGGAGCUGGAGGAUGAGCCUGAGGUGGAGCUCUCAGGGGUUGUGUUCAGCCCCCUCAAGAGCUGAGCCUGGAACCUGGCCCUCAGGGAUCCCUUCCACAUGUCCAAAGCCUAAGACUUCCAGGUGGGCAUCACCAUGCUGGAGGCCCAGAAGCUGGUGGGAGUGAACAUUAACCCCUAUGUGGCAGUGCAGGUUGGGGAGCAGCGCUGAGUGACCACCACACAGCGUGGCACCAAUUGCCUCUUCUACAACGAGUACUUCUUGUUCGAAUUUCAUAAGACCCAGCUUCGCCUGCAAGACUUGCUGCUGGAGAUUACGGAGAGGUGGGCAUUCCAUUCGCAGACCCUCCCCUUUAUUGCCACUUGGAUAGGUACCUUCAGGAUGGACCUGGGCAUCGUGUUUGACCAGCCAGAUGGCCACUUCUACCAGAAAUGGGCUCCGCUGUAUGAUCCCCGGGACACCCGCGCCGGGACCAAGGGCUUUGUCAAAGUCACCUUGUUCGCGAGGGCCCGCGGUAAUCUGCCCCCUUCACUGCCACCCCCGGGCCCAGGGCACAGUUCGGACAUGGAGAAGAACCUGCUCUUGCCGCGCCAGGUGCCAGCCCAGAGGCCAUGGGCGCAACUUCGCGUGCGCGUGUACCACGCCGAGGGGCUUCCCGCGCUGCGCCAGGGGCUGCUGGGCAGCCUGGCGCGCGCCCUGCACCACCAGCGCGUCCUCAGGGAGCCCUAUGAGCGGGUGUCUUUCCUGGGCCAGCAGGGUGAGACAUCCGUGUGCCGCGAGGCAACAGCGCCUGAGUGGAACGAGUAGCUGAAUUUCGUGGAGCUCUUCCCGCCGCUCACGUGGAGUAUUCAUCCGCAACUGCGGGACCAUGCGCCCCUCGUUGAUGUGGCACUCGCCACGCACGUGCUGGACCUGAGGCAGAUCUCGCACCCGGGCCGCGCAGCCGGGUUUAACCCCACGUUCGGCCCAGCCUGGGUGCCUCUCUAUGGUUCACCACCCAGUGUGGGUCUUUGGGAUGGUCUUCAAAGUCUCAAUGAAGGCCUUGGUCAAGGCAUUUGGUUCCGAGGCCGCCUUCUGGUGGCUGUAUCCAUGGAGGUGUUAGAAGGGAGAGCUGAACUUGAGACUCCUCAGGCCCAACACCAGUCCAGGUUGUCGAGGCUCACCUGAAAGAAGAAGAAGAAAGCCAGUCGGGGUCAGAUGCCAAUGGGGGUUCCACAGCACGUGGAUGCCAGCUCCAGUGCGGCUGGAGCUGAGAGUCCUAGUGCCAUGGAGGUGGAGAUGGAGGAGCUGCUGCCACUGCCAGAGAAUGCCCUGGUGCCCUGCGAAGACUUCCUGCUCUUUGGUGUACUCUUUGAGGCCACCAUAAUUAACCCUGCUGUGGCCUCCCAGCCCAUCAGCUUCAAGAUUUCCAUUGGUCGCGCUGGCCGCCAUGAGGAAUAAUUGGACCAAGUUUCCAGGGUCUGGGAGGGAACUGAGGGUGCUGUGAGGGAUGCACAGCCUCUGUUGCAGUCCAAUGUGAGGGCCAGAACAGAGGAAGAGGAAGAGGAGCUGGGGACCCCGGCUCAGCGGCCUGAGCCCAUGGAUGGCAGUGGGCCAUAUCUCUGCCUGCCCCUGCGUCACCGCAAGCCAUGUGUACACGUGUGGAGCUGCUGGGAGGAUUACACAUGGCACCUGCAUAGCAGCAACUGCGUGAGCAAAGUGGCAGAAAGGCUGCUGAGUGCAAGGCUGGACCAGGGGCUGCAGGAGGUUGAGACACUGCAGCGCAGGCCUGGGCCAGGCGCCUGCACAUGGCUCAAGAGGACUCUGGAAGAGUUGGUGGCUGGAAGCGGGUGAUUUUGCCACGGCGCUGAGCACAGGACAAUGACCAGGCCCAGCGCCCUGGAUUGAUGCUGAGGGAAACUGCUGGUGCACAGUCUGAACCUGUUGGCAAAGUAAGGACUGUGGCUUCUAUGGGGCCUAAGACAGGGCAACAUGCAAAAGAAGUUGACAUUGGCCAAGAAGCUCCUGGCAAAACUGCACUUCCUGGCUCGGGAGCCUCAGCCACCCCUGCCUGAUGUGUUGGUCUGGAUGCUCAGUGGGCGGCACCGUGUGGCCUGGGCCUGGAUCCCUGCCCAGGAUGUACUGUUCUCUGUGGUCCAGGAGGAGUGGGGCCGAGACUGCGGGAGGAUCCAGACUCUGCUGCUUACAGCGCCUGGGGCAGGCCCUGGGGAGGUCUGUGCCAAGCUGGAGCUCUUCCUGUGGCUGGGGCUGGGCAAGCAAGCCAAGGCCUGCACCUUCGAGCUGCCCCCAGAUCUGCUGCCCGAGCCCUUGGCUGGGCCGCCCCACUGCCUGUGCCAGCAUGACUUUAGAUACUUCCAGUUCUGGGCUCACUUGUACCAGGCCCGAGGUGUGUUGGCAGCAGAUGACAGUGGCCUCUCGGACUCCUUUGCUCAAGUCCUCAUCUCUACCCAGUGCCAGACCACACAGGUCCUGGAGCAGACGCUGAGCCCCCUGUGGAAUGAACUCCUGGUAUAACGGCAGUAGGGAGGACCUGCAGGAGGAUUAGUGUCAUCAAUGUUUUUGACCACAACAAGCUUGGCCCCCCAGUAUUCCUGGGCAGGGCGCUGGCCGCCCCGAGGGUAAAGCUGGUGGAGGACCCAUACCAACGCCCUGAGCUGCAGUUCUUCCCCCGAGGAAGGGACCCCGGGCAGCUGGAGAGCUUAUUGCCACCUUUGAACUCAUUGAGCUGGACUACAGUGGCCGAUCUGAGCCCUCAGUGCCCAGUGAUGUGGAGCCCCUCUCUGGACGCCUGUCCCUGCCACCCAAUGCACGCCCAGUGCUCAGGGAGUUCCAGGUUGAGGUACUGUUCUGGGGUCUAAGGGGCCUUGGCCGUGUGCACCUGUUUGAGGUAGAGCAGCCCCAGUUGUGCUGGAGGUAGCUGGGCGACGUGUGGAGUCUGAGGUCCUGGCCAGUUACCAUGAGAACCUCAAUUUCACUGAGCUCGUCAGGCAUCUGACAGUGAACUUGCUGGAACAGCCUUACCUGCAGCCCCCACUCAGCAUCCUGGUAAUUGAGCGCCGGGCCUUUGGCCGCACAGUCCUUGUGGGUUCCCACAUUGUCCCUAGCAUGCUACGAUCCACAUUCCAGAGUCAUGAGGAUCCUCCCCGAGCAGGAAGGAGCGGAGGAGGAGACAGGGGACAUGGUGCCUAAGAGACCUAAAGCAAAGAAGCCCCUGGAUCCCUUCUUGGCUAAAGUGGGGGUCUGCAGACAUCUCCUGAAGGUUCCUUUGAAGAAGCUCCCCCUAGGAGGCCUCUUGAAUCAAGGCCUGAGCUGGAGGAGGACAUCCCAGAUCCGGAAGAGCUUGACUGGCGGUCCAAGUACUAUGCAUCCCUACAGGAGCUCCAGGGGCAGCCCAACUCUUAUGAAGAUAAAAUGGAUGAUCCUAGAGAUUCAGAAGGGGUCAACCUCAUUUCUGUGGAUGGGGAGACCCAAGACCAGGGUGAAGCUAAAGUGGAAGGUUCUGUGUCCUGGAAGAAAGCACUCGCCACCCUGAAGAUCUAUACCAGCUCCCUGGAGGAAGAAUUUAACCACUUUGAAGAUUGGCUGAAUGUGUUUCCCCUUUACCAAGGGCCAGGGGGCCAGGAUGGAGAUGGAGACAAAGAAGGAUCUGGACACCUGGUGGGUAAGUUCAAGGGCUCCUUCCUCAUCUAUCCAGAAUCAGAGGCAGUGUCAUUCUCUGAGCCCCAGAUCUCCUGGGGGAUCCCACAGAACCAGCCCAUCAAGCUCCUGGUCAGAGUCUAUGUUGUCAAGGCUACCGACCUGGCUCCAGCAGACCCGAAUGGCAAAGCAGACCCCUAUGUGGUGGUGAGCGCUGGCCGGGAGCGGCAGGACACCAAGGAGUGCUAUAUCCCCAAGCAGCUCAAUCCCAUCUUUGGAGAGGUCCUGGAGCUAAGCAUCUCUCUCCCUGCUGAGCCAGAGCUGACCAUUGCUAUUAUUUGAUCAUGACCUCCUGGGUUCUGAUGAUCAAUCAUUGGAGAGACCUACAUUGACCUGGAAAACUGAUUCUACAGUCACCACAGAGCAAACUGUGGGCUGGCUGCCCAGUAUGACGUGGAUGGGUACAAUGCCUGGCGUGAUGCAUUCCGGCCUUCUCAGAUCCUGGCAGGGUUGUACCAAUGCUGUGGCUUCCCUGCCCCUGAAUACUGAGCCGAGGCUGUCAAGGUGGGGAGCAAAGUCUUCCUAACACCACCUGAGAUGCUGCUACCAGGUAGGGCGGUGCCCCAGGAGGCAGGAGGGGCCCCCGAGGAAGCCCAGGCAUUGCUUGUGCUGUGACGCUGGCAAGAGAUGCCAGAUUUGGGGAUCCAGCUGGUACCUGAGCAUGUAGAAACACGGCCCCUCUACCAUCCCCGAAGCCCAGGCCUGCUACAGGGAUCCCUUCACAGGUGGAUUGACAUCUUUCCCAGAGAUGGCACCUGCCCCACCUCCAGUUGAUAUCAAGCCUCGGAAGCCAAUCAGCUAUGAGCUCAGAGUUGUCAUCUGGAACACGGAAGAUGUGGUUCUGGAUGACGUGAAUCCACUCACUGGGGAGAUGUCAAGUGACAUCUAUGUGAAGAGCUUGGUGAAGGGGCUGGAGCAUGACAAGCACAAGACAGAUGUUCACUUCAACUCCCUGACUGGGAAAGGGAACUUCAACUGGCGCUUCGUGUUCCGCUUUGACUAUCACCCCACGGAGCGGGAGGUGAGCGUCCGGAGCCAGCCCAGGCCCUUCGCUCUGGAGGAGGCCUAGUUCCGGCAGUCAGCCGUGCUGGUCCUGCAAGUCUGAGACUAUGACCGCAUCUCCGCAUCUGGACUCACAGGGUCCCUGGAGUUGCAGCUGUUGGACAUGGUGCAGGGGGGGCCCGGGGCCCUGAGCUCUGCUCGGUGCGGCUGGCCCACCAUGGGGCAGGGACGCAGUGCAAUCUGUUUCACUGCCGCCGCUUGCAGGGCUGGUGACCCGUGGUGAAGCUGCAGGAGGAGGAGGACUUGAUGCAGGAGGCCCCAGAAGGCAAGAAGAGACGAAGCAGAGGAGGAAGGGCCGGCCAGAAGACCUUGAGUUCACAGACACAGGCAGCAACGUGUAUAUCCUCACGGGGAAGGUGGAGGUAGAGUUUGAACUGCUGACCGUGGAGGAGGCUGAGAAGCGGCCAGUGGGGAAGGGGUGGAAGGAGCCAGAACCCCUGGAGAAGCCUAACCGCCCCAAAACCUCCUUCGACUGGUUUGUGAACCCACUGAAGACCUUCGUCUUCAACUGGCGUCACUACUGGUGCAUCCCAGUGCUGCUGCUGCUGCUGGCACUGAUCACCAUCUUCCUCUUCCUUGUCUUCUACACCAUCCCUGGCCAGAUCAGCCAGGCCAUCUUCCGCCCCCUCUACAAGUGACUCUGAGCUUGGACACUCAUACCAUGGUGCCAACCCUUCAGCUCCCCCUCCUAAAGUCCUUCCUGCCCGUGCUUUCUCUGAGUAAACACCACAUAGGCCCCAAUACCCAACUGUGCUGUACAAGGCCACCUCCUUCAGGUGGCAGAGAACAGAGAUGCUCUAGGCCCUAGAGUCUAGGGUGACCUCAGGUGCAGGGGACUUGCUGGAAGAAUGCACAGGGAUAGGAGGCCACCCGCGUGCCCUGCCAGGGAGAACAGAGCCUGACAGGAGGCUCAAAGCCAAGGAGCCUGGGGCCAAGCUGUCAUACCUCUGAGCAGCCCAGCAGCUGCUCCUGCUGGUGGCUGGGUCUCUCUCACCUAAUCUACUGAGGAUCCCACCACUCCAGAAUGCUGAGCCCUUUACACGCUUCACUAACUUGUUUACUCCCCCAUCCCCUCCACUAGGCAUACCUAUCAUUGCACACUUGUUUGCAAAUUGGCUUAAGCAAAAAGGGCAUUUUUUGGCUUACACAGCUGUAAUUCCCAGCCAGUUUGGCUGGCUUCAGGUGCAGCCUGUCACAGGGUUCAAGUGAUGUCACCAAAACUAGCUGUUUCUGCCUUGUGGUUCAGCAAUGCUUCCUCUGGGACGCACUCAUUUGCAGACGGGUUCUCCCCCAGUACUGCAGGGUCACUUCAGUGACCUGUCUCCCCAUGCUCCCAGCCAGAGGACAGUAAGCUCUCCUGCUCCUGACGGCCUGUGGCCUGCUCUGUGUCACUGUGGCCAGCAGGAUGGGGCUUGGGGUGGGAAACCAACACUCCUACCAAACCAUGAAAGUGGAAAGGCCAUUUGGGGUUCCCAAGAGAAUUCAGAGACUGUUAAUAGGAGGGAAUGGUUCUUAGAUGACCCAAAACAAAGCUCACCACAGCCUGUGUUAUCACCCCAAAUUUAGAGAUGAGGCUGGUGCCCAUAAAGAGGAAAGGGAGGUUAAAUAUGUCCAAGGUCACACAGCUUUGAGGUGAUCACAUCAGGGCUGGACCCCAGGCCUAAUUCCAGAGGUUUUGCCUUCAUCACUCUGCUUUUUUUUCUGACCCCUCUCCCUGCCUUUUGCCUACAUCAA
Nycticebus coucang (slow loris) is the source of this 7062-nucleotide RNA transcript. It is a transcript of the gene named fer-1-like protein 4, with no coding region annotated. The transcript has 46 exons. The record is from RefSeq and is a predicted model, not a curated record. Lineage: Eukaryota; Metazoa; Chordata; Mammalia; Primates; Lorisidae.